CCUACGGGAGGCAGCAGUGGGGAAUCUUGCGCAAUGGGCGGAAGCCUGACGCAGCAACGCCGCGUGCGGGAAGAAGGCCUUAGGGUCGUAAACCGCUUUCAGGGGGGACGAAGCUUCCGGGGUUAAUAGCCUACGGGGUGACGGUACUCCCAAAAGAAGGUCCGGCUAACUACGUGCCAGCAGCCGCGGUAAUACGUAGGGACCGAGCGUUGUCCGGAAUCAUUGGGCGUAAAGAGCGUGUAGGCGGCCUAGUAGGUCUCGUGUGAAAUCCCGCGGCUCAACCGCGGACACGCACGGGAAACCCCUAGGCUCGAGUCCGGAAGAGGAGAGCGGAAUUCCUGGUGUAGCGGUGAAAUGCGCAGAUAUCAGGAAGAACACCCGUAGCGAAGGCGGCUCUCUGGGACGGUACUGACGCUGAGACGCGAAAGCGUGGGGAGCAAACAGGAUUAGAUACCCUGGUAGUCCACGCCGUAAACGAUGGAUGCUAGGUGUGGGAGGUGUCGACUCCUCCCGUGCCGAAGCUAACGCAUUAAGCAUCCCGCCUGGGGAGUACGGCCGCAAGGCUAAAACUCAAAAGAUAGAGGCGNGAGAGAGCGACGACGACGACGACGGAGGAG
RNAcentral lists this ribosomal RNA (617 nucleotides) under uncultured bacterium. RNAcentral describes it as "bacterial SSU rRNA". It matches the Rfam family "Bacterial small subunit ribosomal RNA", at positions 338 to 1331 of the family's 1533-position model. The record is from RNAcentral.